This 406-nucleotide ribosomal RNA is filed under the name bacterium enrichment culture clone ALO1_GLFRUDD03G3LE5. RNAcentral describes it as "bacterial SSU rRNA". It matches the Rfam family "Bacterial small subunit ribosomal RNA", at positions 9 to 416 of the family's 1533-position model. RNAcentral also lists the same sequence under 1 other name. The record is from RNAcentral.
GAGUUUGAUCAUGGCUCAGAUUGAACGCUGGCGGCAUGCCUUACACAUGCAAGUCGAACGGCAGCACGGGAGCUUGCUCCUGGUGGCGAGUGGCGAACGGGUGAGUAAUGCAUCGGAACGUAUCCUGGAGUGGGGGAUAACGUAGCGAAAGUUACGCUAAUACCGCAUAUUCUGUGAGCAGGAAAGCGGGGGACCUUCGGGCCUCGCGCUCUUGGAGCGGCCGAUGUCGGGUUAGCUAGUUGGUGAGGUAAAGGCUCACCAAGGCGACGAUCCGUAGCAGGUCUGAGAGGAUGAUCUGCCACACUGGAACUGAGACACGGUCCAGACUCCUACGGGAGGCAGCAGUGGGAAUUUUGGACAAUGGGGGCAACCCUGAUCCAGCCAUGCCGCGUGAGUGAAGAAGGCC